ACCUUAUUAGUAUAAAUGUACAUAUGACUUCCAAUCAUAAAGUCUUGAAAUAAAACAAGAUAAGGUA
RNAcentral lists this transfer RNA (67 nucleotides) under Comatella nigra. RNAcentral's name for it is "tRNA-Gly". Lineage: Eukaryota; Metazoa; Echinodermata; Crinoidea; Comatulida; Comatulidae. The record is from RNAcentral.